AUUGAACGCUGGCGGCAGGCCUAACACAUGCAAGUCGAACGGUAACAGGAAACAGCUUGCUGUUUCGCUGACGAGUGGCGGACGGGUGAGUAAUGUCUGGGAAACUGCCUGAUGGAGGGGGAUAACUACUGGAAACGGUAGCUAAUACCGCAUAACGUCGCAAGACAAAAGAGGGGGACCCUCGGGCCCCUUGCCAUCGGAUGAGCCCAGAUGGGAUUAGCUUGUUGGUGGGGUAACGGCUCACCAAGGCGACGAUCCCUAGCUGGUCUGAGAGGAUGACCAGCCACACUGGAACUGAGACACGGUCCAGACUCCUACGGGAGGCAGCAGUGGGGAAUAUUGCACAAUGGGCGCAAGCCUGAUGCAGCCAUGCCGCGUGUAUGAAGAAGGCCUUCGGGUUGUAAAGUACUUUCAGCGGGGAGGAAGGGAGUAAAGUUAAUACCUUUGCUCAUUGACGUUACCCGCAGAAGAAGCACCGGCUAACUCCGUG
This 490-nucleotide ribosomal RNA is filed under the name uncultured bacterium. Its description in RNAcentral is "partial 16S ribosomal RNA". It matches the Rfam family "Bacterial small subunit ribosomal RNA", at positions 30 to 507 of the family's 1533-position model. The record is from RNAcentral.